GGCGAGUGAAGCAGCAAUAGCUCAAAUUUGAAAUCUGGCGUCUUCGACGUCCGAGUUGUAAUUUGUAGAGGAUGCUUCUGAGUGGCCACCGACCUAAGUUCCUUGGAACAGGACGUCAUAGAGGGUGAGAAUCCCGUAUGCGGUCGGAAAGGCGCUCUAUACGUAGCUCCUUCGACGAGUCGAGUUGUUUGGGAAUGCAGCUCUAAAUGGGAGGUAAAUUUCUUCUAAAGCUAAAUAUUGGCCAGAGACCGAUAGCGCACAAGUAGAGUGAUCGAAAGAUGAAAAGCACUUUGGAAAGAGAGUUAAAAAGCACGUGAAAUUGUUAAAAGGGAAGGGAUUGCAACCAGACUU
Molecule: ribosomal RNA, 351 nt
Filed under: Chrysochromulina rotalis
Lineage: Eukaryota; Haptophyta; Prymnesiales; Chrysochromulinaceae
Description: partial Eukaryotic large subunit ribosomal RNA
Rfam family: Eukaryotic large subunit ribosomal RNA
Source: RNAcentral